CAGAUACGAUGUUGUAUGUGGUAAUACACAAUGUUGAGUAAACUAUAAUUAGAUAAUAAAACAUAACUGAAUAUGUAUAUUUUUUAAAAACUCAAUUAGUUUAUCGUAAUUAUUUAUAAAACAUAGUAAGACUCACAUUGUGCAUAAUAGAAGGAACAUAAUAACUUUCGUCCUUAUAAGAUAAGUGAUAGUAAUCUAAAAAUGUUUGCAGCUCAUUUCGUCCACAUACAAGAAAAUUCUGUAAGUACCUUUUCAAUAGUAUUAUUUGUUACGAAUUAAAUUCAUGUAACAAAUUAUUUCACGUGAUUUUGUUUGGUCAAUAUAUCGUCAUUUGAUGGAAUAUAACUAUUUAACGAAAUUAAUAUAAUGAUUUUUCAUCAGAAAAAGACAGACAGAUCUCUAUGUUUUUAGCUGAAACAAAUUUUAUGUAAAGAAAACAUGUGCACUUAAGUAUAUUAAUGCUCAAGAAUAUGUAGUCUUUUACUCGUUUUUUAUUGUAAAAAUUGCGUACGAAUAUUUAAGUUUGCCCAAAAUAACAAUGUAAAUUUAGAUUUAAUUGCCAAAAUUAGUAAUGGUAAUGUAUAAAAUAAUGAUUUAGUUCAUAUUUUUCCAUUCUCUAGUAGUUACUUUGUUAAAAUUUCUUUGAAUAGUAAAACAUAAAAGAAAUCAAGAAAUAACUUUUUAUUUUAUCUAAUUCUUAGGACGCAUCUGUAUAACAAAUAAAACUGGCGCGCGAUUUCACACCAAAAAAUCAAAAAUUCGCUCGCGGUUAUAGGGUUCAUCAAGUACAACGCAUAAUUUCGGUAAUAUCAUUUAAGUAAUAAUUUCAAAGUUCAAAAUCAUAGAUAAUAUAACAUUUUCUAUGCGUGCAAAUACAUAAUAGUUUUGAUAUGAACAUAAUUGAAUCAUCUUAAAUAAUUCUGUAGUAAUACGACGUGUAAAAAAUUAAUACAGAGUGUACGUAGUUUAUUUAAUUAUCUUAUCUAACAUUCGUCAUAUGACAAAUUUCUCAAUGUAUCUAUUAUUUAUACAUUUUUUUUAGUUUGUAUUGUAGCUAAUAUUAUUAUGCAAAUAAGCAGGUUUACUACUACAAUAAGUGUUCAAUAUGAUGUUCUCUUAAUGGUUUCGGAUUUAAUGUCAAUGCAGGCUUUAAUUAUUUGCUUUAUGUAGCAUAUCGUGUACAUGUAAAGUGCAUGGUAUUAUGUGAUACAUUAAAUAAAGGAUCCACUUUAUUAAAUAGAAUACUGUACUCUUUUGUAUCACAAUUCAAAAGAAUGUUGAAUUUUUAAUGAAAACAUAUGAACUUAAUUAAUAACCUAAUAAAUAAAUAAUGAGAUAUUUGUCUUUGUUUCUCGAAAAUUAGUUUGAAAAUUGGUUUCGCGUAACAUUAAAAUCACUUCAUACUGUUUAAUAAAAGUAAAAUAUUAAAUUGACAUUUGAUAAAAAUCAGUAUAUUUUUACUCAAAGUACAAUAUUUUUAUAAAUUAUUAGACAAUCCGAACUAAACACCUAUAAAAAAGGUACGUACAUUACACAAUAUGUCCCUGAAGAUCAAAUUUAUUUAAUUUUCAAACAUAUUAACUUUUCAUUGAAAGUAAAAUUUUAAAAUUAUUUAAGACGAUCGAGUUCAGCCUCUAUAUUACGUGAAAAGAAAUAGGAGGUAUUAUAAAAUUUAACUAAUUAUUACAAAGAGAUACAAUGGUUAAAUAAAAUGAACAAUGGGUACAUAAUUUCAUAAAGAUUAAUUUAAUAAAACGAGUUAGUACUUAAGUUAUUAAACUCUCUUGAACAUAGUGAAUUAGGGGCUCAGAAAGACUAAUCAAUCAUUUCCUGUAUUGAAUAAUUUACAAAUUGUUAAUCACAUCCACAGCUAAGCAACAAUAAUUCACUGUUUCUCCACUAGUAAAUAAAAAUUUUAUUUUUGAAAUUAAAAAUUAAGAAUAUUUGUAUCUUAUACUUGGGAAGUAUUUACUUAUGCAAGUCUUCUGAUAUUAUUGGUAUUUUACAGCUACCAGUAAAUUGUAGAAGAUUAAAAACUAGGAAAAUACUUUUAGAUCAACAUAAAGUAUAUUUCCAUUAACACUAGAAUUACUAGACUAGUCAAAACGAGUAAUUCAAAAAUGUCUAUUUUACGAUUAUUAAAAUUACAAGUAUGCUUUUGUAAGCAUUUGUUCUUAAAUUUUAAGAAAUGUAUUCUUCCAGGUUUUAGAAGAGAGUCUAAAUGAGUCAUUCUAGUUGCUUGGCAGUUCCAGUAUCAAACCGGAACAAAAUUUUUCUUUAGAUCAUUAUGUCAGGAAAAUCUUCAAAAGUAUUCACGUACUGCUAUAAAGGAAUUGUCAGUCAGCUGUACUGUACAUAUUACCUAUAGCAUAAUAUUGGAUUUACUGUAAAUUGAUUGCUACCUUCCACGAAUACAAUAGGAUAAAAUUCUUAUUACGAAAGCAAUGCACGGGAGGUCAUUUCAGCGAAGAAUAGAAUCCGUGGAGCGACCUUGCGAGACAUUGAAUCGUGCCAAACGACUCGUAAAAAUCAUUGCGAUUUACGACCGGCGUUUAACCCUGAGAGACUUUCAAAGUACCGUUUAAUACAGUCAUAAAAUUACUUAAUAGAGUUAUGAAAAUGACGGAAAAAAUGAAAAAGAAAAGAUAAAAUUGACGGAUUCUUACGUAACAGUUACACAGUGAAUUUGUGAAUGCAUAAACAUUUCAGAACGAAGCGGAAGUCACAUAAAGUAAAAUCGUCGAGGAUGACUUUAUUUUUGGCUGAAACCGUCGAGCCAGGAGGGAAAAAAUAUCACUGGCUUCAUACAGAUCGAAUCACGAAAAGCACUAUCACUUUCAACACUUCAGUGACCACGUUUUUUAUUGUAAACUCUGUCUUAUAAUGUUAUGCUUCUAUCUUCAUAACGUAAAUGCAAUAAGAUCUCGAAUACCCAAUCAAAUUGAGCAUUUAACAAUUCAGAUAAAUGGAGACUUGAGAAGAAAUUUUUCAAAACAUAUGUAUAAAAUUCGAUUGUAUGUAUUUAACCCUGCGGAAUUUAGUUUCAAAAAUUUCUUAUUGUGCACGCAAUAAAAUCAGAUAAUGAAGUGUAUACACGUCGAAUGUAGGUUAAAUGCACUUAUCAUAUAUUCUAACAAGAAACUAGAAUGAAAAGAAGAAGAAUUACAUGUUUGUUUAAAAUAAAUAAUCCAUCGUUUAAAAAGUUAGCAGCAUUUAGAGUUUUAAGAUGACGUGUAUACUCGUCAAACGCAGUUACCUGGUUAAAGAUACAAUCUAAGAAUUGAAAUGACAAAGUUCUAAUUAACACGUUGACUGCCACGGUGAUCAUUGAUGAUCAGAACUUCCAAAUUACUUGAAAGCAAUUACAAUAAAAACAUUAAUACCGAAUGAAAAUAUUUAAUAACGCGAAUAAUUAAAUAAUAGUAUAUUAUACGAACUCUGAUUACAACUCAUUAAUAAUUAGUUUUAACACCAUUCGUCUUUAUCAUGCAAGUCUAGAUCUAGAUCGUGGAAAAUAGUGACUUGGUCAAUCGAGGUCCUACUGUACGUGCAUUAUGUGUUGGAAAAAGUUCGUGCAGGUUUUUAAACCAAAAUUUAAACACAGAGAACGUUUUUGCAAAAUAAUUUUAUUUUAUUUGAUACCAACGUGAUAGACAUAAUUUGUUGUUAAUAGCAAUUUCGUUCAUUACACUAGUAAAAUAUUUAUUGAGAUCGGAGUCUAAUUCAUUUAUACCAAGAAA
Long non-coding RNA from Nomia melanderi (Alkali bee), 3740 nucleotides. RefSeq lists it as uncharacterized. Lineage: Eukaryota; Metazoa; Arthropoda; Insecta; Hymenoptera; Halictidae. The record is from RefSeq and is a predicted model, not a curated record.